RNAcentral lists this ribosomal RNA (247 nucleotides) under Euchone variabilis. RNAcentral's name for it is "partial 28S ribosomal RNA". It matches the Rfam family "Eukaryotic large subunit ribosomal RNA", at positions 705 to 911 of the family's 3401-position model. The record is from RNAcentral. Lineage: Eukaryota; Metazoa; Annelida; Polychaeta; Sabellida; Sabellidae.
AACCCACGGGCGCAAUGAAAGUGAAGGGCCGCCCUCGCGGUGGCCUCGGGUGGGAUCCCGGCGCGCUUCCCGUCAAAAGGACCGCCGGGCGCACCACCGGCCCGUCUCUAACCUAACGGCUGAGGCGGAGCGAGAGCGUGCGCGUUGGGACCCGAAAGAUGGUGAACUAUGCCUGAGUAGGUCGAAGCCAGAGGAAACUCUGGUGGAGGACCGUAGCGAUUCUGACGUGCAAAUCGAUCGUCAAACU